AAUCCAUGAUGUGGGCACCACCUAAGAAGGUCCUUGAAUCUUUCUUGUGCCUCGAAAAAUGUUUCAGACUCUCCUUGCUUAAAUGCCGAGAUCUCUUUGUCUGAUUUU
This is a small nucleolar RNA of Dioscorea cayenensis subsp. rotundata (Guinea yam), 108 nucleotides long. The record is from RefSeq and is a predicted model, not a curated record. Lineage: Eukaryota; Viridiplantae; Streptophyta; Magnoliopsida; Dioscoreales; Dioscoreaceae.